RNAcentral lists this ribosomal RNA (202 nucleotides) under uncultured bacterium. Its description in RNAcentral is "partial 16S ribosomal RNA". It matches the Rfam family "Bacterial small subunit ribosomal RNA", at positions 524 to 724 of the family's 1533-position model. The record is from RNAcentral.
UACAGAGGGGGCAAGCGUUGUUCGGAAUUACUGGGCGUAAAGGGCGCGUAGGCGGCCUUCUAAGUCGAACGUGAAAUCCCCGGGCUCAACCCGGGAACUGCGUCCGAUACUGGAAGGCUUGAAUCCGGGAGAGGGAUGCGGAAUUCCAGGUGUAGCGGUGAAAUGCGUAGAUAUCUGGAGGAACACCGGUGGGCGAAGGCGG